CAGGAUGAACGCUGGCGGCGUGCCUAACACAUGCAAGUCGAACGGAGUUACGAGAGCUUGCUUUGUAACUUAGUGGCGGACGGGUGAGUAAUGUAUGAGCAACCUGCCUUUCAGAGGGGGACAACAGUUGGAAACGACUGCUAAUACCGCAUAAUGUGCGGGGAGGGCAUCCUCCCUGUACCAAAGGAGCAAUCCGCUGAAAGAUGGGCUCAUAUCUGAUUAGUUAGUUGGCAGGGUAACGGCCUACCAAGACUGCGAUCAGUAGCCGGACUGAGAGGUUGAACGGCCACAUUGGGACUGAGAUACGGCCCAGACUCCUACGGGAGGCAGCAGUGGGGAAUAUUGGGCAAUGGGCGAAAGCCCUGACCCAGCAACGCCGCGUGAAGGAAGAAGGUCUUCGGAUUGUAAACUUCUUUUAUGAGGGACGAAGGACGUGACGGUACCUCAUGAAUAAGCCACGGCUAACUACGUGCCAGCCGCGGC
RNAcentral lists this ribosomal RNA (483 nucleotides) under uncultured bacterium. Its description in RNAcentral is "bacterial SSU rRNA". It matches the Rfam family "Bacterial small subunit ribosomal RNA", at positions 25 to 518 of the family's 1533-position model. The record is from RNAcentral.